This 253-nucleotide ribosomal RNA is filed under the name uncultured bacterium. Its description in RNAcentral is "partial 16S ribosomal RNA". It matches the Rfam family "Bacterial small subunit ribosomal RNA", at positions 524 to 776 of the family's 1533-position model. The record is from RNAcentral.
UACGUAGGUGGCAAGCGUUAUCCGGAAUUAUUGGGCGUAAAGCGCGCGCAGGCGGUUUCUUAAGUCUGAUGUGAAAGCCCACGGCUCAACCGUGGAGGGUCAUUGGAAACUGGGGAAUUUGAGUGCAGAAGAGAAAAGCGGAAUUCCACGUGUAGCGGUGAAAUGCGUAGAGAUGUGGAGGAACACCAGUGGCGAAAGCGGCUUUUUGGUCUGUAACUGACGCUGAGGCGCGAAAGCGUGGGGAGCAAACAGG